Anopheles darlingi is the source of this 417-nucleotide long non-coding RNA. RefSeq lists it as uncharacterized. The record is from RefSeq and is a predicted model, not a curated record. The transcript is spliced from 3 exons. Lineage: Eukaryota; Metazoa; Arthropoda; Insecta; Diptera; Culicidae.
GAUUUUUCUAUUGUUCGCGUGAAUAGCCUGCUUCUCUCGCGAUCGUAGAAGGCUCCUUUCUUCGGUGGUCUGCUCAGCGCGUGUACCAUUUUUGAGGCUUGCACUGCACUUAGAAAUUCGACAGAAAAGCGGACGGAUCAUACGGAAGCAAAUCGUCAAGAUGGACAAGCCAACAGUGCCAGCGGUAGUGUACUAUUGUGCCGAAUGUUACGCGGAGAACAUUUUACGGGCCAAGGAUCCCGUACGCUGUACCUCGUGUGGAUAUCGUAUACUUUACAAAAAGCGUACCGAUCGAACGAUGGUCUUUGAUGCGCGCUAGCUCUAGGACGCCAUGAUGGCGCGUGCAUCGCAACGCACACGGUUACUCCGUUCGUGACGCCGAUAUCACGAUUUGUACCAUCGUUCAAUCGAAAUAAA